RNAcentral lists this long non-coding RNA (1980 nucleotides) under Mus musculus (house mouse). RNAcentral's name for it is "predicted gene 11816". The record is from RNAcentral. Lineage: Eukaryota; Metazoa; Chordata; Mammalia; Rodentia; Muridae.
GUCACAUUGCUCCCUAGAGAAGACAGCAUUGUCUCCUCCCAAACCCCUCUUGCUGCCAUCAGUAAGUCAGUGAUGCUUCGUGUCCCCAACAGAUCUUAGCAGUAACUGAGAAAAUGCUCAUGGAAAUGCUUUGGAAAAGAACUCAGCCUGGCAGCUGCAGAAAACUCGGAAACCACACAGAUUUCUGCUGUUGGAGCCUCCAUCUCUGAGCAAGACCAGCUGGAAUUCUGAGAUCUGUUACCUCUUAUUUCUUCAUGACAUCUUUGGGGAUACAUACAGACCAAACCUUAAAACGAAGUCAAACAUCGUACUCUGGUUCACUUCUUUAUGUGAACAGCACGACUCAGCGGUGCUCAGCGCACAGUGGUGCUCAGCACACAGUCCGUCCCAGCAGAUGGAAGCCUCGGAACACUGGCAAUUCAGCACAAUGACAUCAGCAUGGCUAUUCUCCAGAACCAAACUGUCUGGCUCCAGAGCCAAAAUGUGAGUGUUCCAUUCUUGGAAGUGGGACUGUUCCCUUCCCUGUAGAUGCUGUGUCUAUGUCCCCUGUGUCUCAGGAGUAAUUGUUCAGUAGAGGGUAGCAUCUAGCCGUUUAUGUACUGCACCAUUUAUUGAACCCUGCACAUGGGUCUUCACUGAUGAAGACCUCAUGUUCUCAUCAUGGUCUUAAGUGCCUCAAACUCACACCUCUACAUGCUUGUUGAUUAAAUGAUGGAUGGAUGGAUGGAUGGAUGGAUGGAUGGAUACAAAAAUCCAUCCAUCAUUCUUAUCAGUGGAACAACAUAAAGCAAGGCUUACCAUGAACUGCAAUGUGAACUUGAUAAACAUGAUUUCUAUUCCACAUCGCUAUUAUCGGUUCAGGUACAGAUCUGACUCAAGUCUAGGCUGAUUGUGUGGAGACAUUUGUGUACUUUUCCAGAGCCAGAUGGUCCUGCCUUGAUUUAUCAACCAGGAAAUAGCCAAUGAUUGUGAAACCUCCCUGGACUUCUGAUAUUCUUAGAAAAAACAGGGGCAUGAGGCAACGGAAAGACAGACCAGAAGUUCUUUUAAAUGGCAUUGGUAAGGUUUUGGUAUAUUUUUCCAUUAUGUCUUCCUAUGAACAUAAAAUUUUUAUCCACGAUAUUGUUGUGAAAGUCCCAACCACAGUGGGCGUUCUAGCAAGUGGCUCCUUUCAUUUUUCCCAAUCAACAUUGAUAGUUGUGCUACCCAGCAAAGAGAUAAACAUGCAAAAGGCACCAUCUUCCCUGAUCUCAUGACACACGGUGACGUUGCAUAGCUGGGCUAUGACAACUGGCUCUGAAGUCACAUAACCAGGACACAACUUCCAUUCUGGCUUCACUAGCUAUGUGACAGUGAAUCCAGAUCUGUACCUUCUCAUAUUCUUGUACCAUGAAGUAUGAGAAAUGGCAGUAACCUUUAUAAUUUGAAGGUAUUGGGUGGCUAGAUGAGAUCAUACAAAUACCCAGUAGAAGAUGUGGUAAGCAAACGCUGACACCAUUGCAUACGCCAGUAAGAUUUUGCUGAAAGGACCCUCAUAUAGCUGUCUCUUGUGAGGCUACGCCGGUGCCUGGCAAACACAGAAAUGGAUGCUCACAGUCAGCUAUUGGAUGGAACACAGGGCCCCCAAUGGAGGAGCUGGAGAAAGUACCCAAGGAGCUAAAGAGGUCUGCAACCCUAUAGUUGGAACAACAAUAUGAACUAACCAGUACUCCCGGAGCUCAUAUCUCUAGCUGCAUAUGUAGCAGAAGUUGGCCUAGUUGGCCAUUAUUGGGAAGAGAGGCCCCUUGGUCUUGCCAACUUUAUAUGCCUCAGUACAGGGGAAUGCCAGGGCCAAGAAGUGGGAGUGGGUGGGUAGGGGAGUGGGUAGGUAGGGUAUGGGGGACUUUUGGGAUAGUAUUUGAAAUGUAAAUGAAGAAAAUACCUAAUGAAAAUUUUAAAAAUUGAAAAUAAAAGAAAAUGUGGUAAGCACCAAAAAGGUUA